GCAUUAAUGGGGUAGAGGUAACCCAGGUCUUAAAGUUCGGUGUUGAAUAGCAAUCUCAAGACCAGCCGAGGGUUCGAAUCCCUCUUAAUGCA
Molecule: non-coding RNA, 92 nt
Organism: Mycena galopus ATCC 62051
Lineage: Eukaryota; Fungi; Basidiomycota; Agaricomycetes; Agaricales; Mycenaceae
Source: the annotation of a GenBank genome assembly